GACGUAGGGCGCGAGCGUUGUCCGGAUUUAUUGGGCGUAAAGAGCUCGUAGGCGGCUCAUUGCGUCAACCGUGAAAACCAGCAGCUCAACUGUUGGCUUGCGGUUGAUACGGGUGGGCUGGAGUUCGGUAGGGGAGACUGGAAUUCCUGGUGUAGCGGUGAAAUACGCAGAUAUCAGGAGGAACACCGGUGGCGAAGGCGGGUCUCUGGGCCGAUACUGACGCUGAGGAGCGAAAGCGUGGGGAGCGAACAGG
RNAcentral lists this ribosomal RNA (253 nucleotides) under uncultured bacterium. RNAcentral describes it as "partial 16S ribosomal RNA". It matches the Rfam family "Bacterial small subunit ribosomal RNA", at positions 524 to 776 of the family's 1533-position model. The record is from RNAcentral.